GACGAACGCUGGCGGCGUGCUUAACACAUGCAAGUCGAACGGAAAGGCCCUGCUUUUGUGGGGUGCUCGAGUGGCGAACGGGUGAGUAACACGUGAGUAACCUGCCCUUGACUUUGGGAUAACUUCAGGAAACUGGGGCUAAUACCGGAUAGGAGCUCCUGCUGCAUGGUGGGGGUUGGAAAGUUUCGGCGGUUGGGGAUGGACUCGCGGCUUAUCAGCUUGUUGGUGGGGUAGUGGCUUACCAAGGCUUUGACGGGUAGCCGGCCUGAGAGGGUGACCGGCCACAUUGGGACUGAGAUACGGCCCAUACUCCUACGGGAGGCAGCAGUGGGGAAUAUUGCACAAUGGGCGGAAGCCUGAUGCAGCAACGCCGCGUGCUGGAUGACGGCCUUCGGGUUGUAAACCGCUUUCGCCUGUGACGAAGCGUGAGUGACGGUAAUGGGUAAAGAAGCACGGGCUAACUACGUG
This 468-nucleotide ribosomal RNA is filed under the name uncultured bacterium. RNAcentral describes it as "partial 16S ribosomal RNA". It matches the Rfam family "Bacterial small subunit ribosomal RNA", at positions 28 to 507 of the family's 1533-position model. The record is from RNAcentral.